CUGUCUCCUGCUUCAAGGGUAUUUGGACGGAACAG
Myotis davidii is the source of this 35-nucleotide non-coding RNA. Lineage: Eukaryota; Metazoa; Chordata; Mammalia; Chiroptera; Vespertilionidae. The record is from Rfam.